Long non-coding RNA from Dermacentor albipictus, 2378 nucleotides. RefSeq lists it as uncharacterized. NCBI's taxonomy places the organism in Eukaryota, Metazoa, Arthropoda, Arachnida, Ixodida, Ixodidae. The record is from RefSeq and is a predicted model, not a curated record.
GCGCGCUGGUGACGUUCCGUUCGUUUUGAGCCGUUAUCGCUCUUUAGCCCUCCUCAUCCGCGUCGAACCAUUAUCAACCGUUCUCCGGCGGCGGCUGCUUGUGGCACGGCCGCGCGAACCGUAUCUUGAAAGCGAACUGCAUUGUGGACAGAGUGUGCCCACUGCUGAAACCUUCCCGCGCUGUGUUCGCACCGUUUACUUCGCUUUGAAAACAGACGCGCGUACACCUAUCUUGAAAGUGUUCUGCGAAAAGCGCAUAGUGCGGCAUGAGCUGAGAGCUUCGUGAGCGCAGUGUUCUCGCCGCUUCGGUCGCGUUGAAGCGAGAGCUAGCACGAAGCUCAUCGGUGGAUGCACGUCUGCUCGGCGUCGCAAUGCGGCCUGCGUCAUUUUUUGGUGUUCGCGCAAUCGGUGUGAAGCAUGUCGCAUGUGAAAUGUUUGGUAGAAGUGCCUCACGUCCAAGUCAAGCCGCCGUACGGGUGUAUGGCUGUGCGCCCUGUUCUCGGAAGCGUCAACGGGUUUCCGGCAUGCGGAUUUCAGCGUUUGGACUCGACUUUUGGUGAGGCUGUCGAUCGACCUUGGGCCUGGUGACAGCACACCCGACAUCGCCAAAGUGCAGCCUAUCAGUUGAGUGCCCCCGAAUGGACCAUCAACAUCGGAAACUGAAGCAGAGCCAGGGGGAAAAAGUUCCGGUAACACCAUGCAUUCAGUAUGGUGGCCCAGACGUGUAUGCAAGCAACCUCCUUCAUGUGGACCAAGAACUACUCUGCAGUGUCUCACAGACUUCCAUGCGAAGCCCUCAACAUUCUCGUUUCAGUGGAAUGGCUGCCCAUCUAUCUGCGUGUCCAUCACCAAGACGGCUAGUUGUAAAGCUCCUGUACCCGUUUAAGAAAGCUUAAUGAUUUUUUUAUUUAGUUUUCACGGUUGGCCGUAGAAUCUUAACAUUUUUGAUGUUUCUAACGUUUUUACCUGGCACAAAGUGGCGCAAUAACUUUAAACCAGUGUAAUGUAUUUAAGUGAUGCUCACUCUAAUGCCUAUCUGGUUUUGUUUGUGUUUAAGAAAUUUGAAUGUCUGAUGAGGUAACAGCAUUUAAAUUUGUCAUCGUGGCUUGUUUCAAUGAGCUGCUAGGAAAUAAGAUGCAAAACUUAUCACACGCCAGUUGUAGCAUUUUUGUAUUCAUGACUACAGUAUACACGUUUCAAAAGAUGGAAAGUGGGGAAAAAAAGCCUCAAGAACAUAAUCAUCCUAGGAUUGUCAUGUCCUUACAACUCUGCAAUGACUAAUGCCUCAUGCAUCUUGGGAGCACAAUGGUCGCAAUGCCUACAGGUAUACUUGAUAAGAGACUAGCUUGCAAAAAUUUAGUUGAGAGUUAGCGCUCAUCCUGUCUGCUUCUAGUCUGUGUCUGAGUCUGUGUCCACUUCGCGCUACAAUCCAAGAUCAUGUUACUGUACCAACUCGCCCAACUUUUUAUCCUUGUGUUAAAGACACACUCAGACUUGUUCUUACUUAUGUGACCGGUUAUUUUUGUGCUUUAUAAUAAGAUGCAGUGCUUUUCGAAUGAAAACGUGAUAUUUAGUAGUGAGGUUAUUUAAAAAAACUGUUCUGCUUCAAAUUUAAUUGAGCAAGCCUGUGCCAUUAUUCGGUGCUUAUGUCUUUGUAUUGGUAUGGUUUUGCUCAUCUUCCGUUUUACUUUUAAAAUGUGCAAACAUUAUUAUGUAACCAUUUCUCUUGAAUGAAAUAAAUACUUCUGACAUUUCGUCACAAAUUUUACAAUGAUGUUGUUCAAUUAGGUAACCUUAGACUAGCUGAUUGUUGUUCUGGUAGCUUAACUUACAAUGCCUUUGCAAUAUUCAAUGCAAGCACAUGGUGAAAAAUAAACUAAGUUAUUGGGUAUAAGCAGGUAUCUUUCAGUAAAUGGAGCAUACAUAUAUUUCAGGAAAUAGUGCAUUCUUAUAUAUUGAACAGCAAGGACAGCUACACAUGCUGUUUUGUUCGUAAAUGCUGAAACAUGAUUCGACGUGGAAGCACUUUGUUCUUUGGCUUUGAGUGCUACCUUUAAGUCAUGUGUCAAAGUAGUAGUAGAAGCAUCCCUUGGCGAUAAAUGACAACUUUGAUGAAUAGAGGUGUAAAAUGUGUGCUUAAAACGGCAAAAAACUGUUUGACAGGCAAACAUAUGCUUCUGUAGUACUGUACUUGUUACCGUCGCCAAUCCAUGCAUUGCUUGUGCUCUAUUGCAUUCAAUAUGAGCUACAACAACGAGCUGUGGUGUCUUUCCCUCCUGGUCGAGCUGGUGUUGCGAAAAUGUUUGACCAAGAAAAGUGGAGGUUUUUAAUUAUUUCUGAAAUGCAUGUAACUAUGCUUUUGGCUGUGUGCUGUUUCC